AUCGAUGAAGAACGCAGCGAAAUGCGAUAAGUAAUGUGAAUUGCAGAAUUCAGUGAAUCAUCGAAUCUUUGAACGCACCUUGCGCCCUUUGGUAUUCCGAAGGGCAUGCCUGUUUGAGUGUCAUUAAAUUCUCAACCUUGCAAGCUUUUUUGCUAGCGAGGCUUGGAUGUGAGGGCUUUUGCUGGCUUCCUUCAUUGGAUGGUCUGCUCCCUUUAAAUUCAUUAGUGGGAUCCUUUGUGGAUGGUCACUUGGUGUGAUAAUUAUCUACGCCGCCUGACUCUGAAACAAGACUUGUGGGGACCUGCUCAUAACCGUCUCUUCAAGGGACAAUCUUUAUUGACAAUUUGACCUCAAAUCAGGUAGGACUACCCGCUGAACUUAAGCAUAUCAAUAAGCGGAGGAAAAGAAACUAACAAGGAUUCCCCUAGUAACUGCGAGUGAAGCGGGAAAAGCUCAAAUUUAAAAUCUGGCGGUUUCACCGUCCGAGUUGUAAUUUAGAGAAGUGUUAUCCGCGCUGGACCGUGUACAAGUCUCCUGGAAUGGAGCGUCAUAGAGGGUGAGAAUCCCGUCUUUGACACGGACUACCAGGGCAUUGUGAUACGCUCUCAAAGAGUCGAGUUGUUUGGGAUUGCAGCUCAAAAUGGGUGGUAAAUUCCAUCUAAAGCUAAAUAUUGGGGAGAGACCGAUAGCGAACAAGUACCGUGAGGGAAAGAUGAAAAGAACUUUGGAAAGAGAGUUAAACAGUACGUGAAAUUGCUGAAAGGGAAACGCUUGAAGUCAGUCGCGUCGUUCAGGAUUCAGCUUUAGCAUCUGCUAUGUGCAUUUCCUGUUUGACGGGUCAGCAUCAGUUUUGGCCGGUGGAUAAAGGUUCAGAGAAUGUGGCAUCUUCGGAUGUGUUAUAGCUCUGGGUCGCAUACAUCGGCUGGGACUGAGGAACUCAGCACGCCGCAAGGCCAGGUUUCGACCAUGUUCGUGCUUAGGAUGCUGGCAUAAUGGCUUUAAUCGACCCGUCUUGAAACACGG
Molecule: ribosomal RNA, 1023 nt
Filed under: uncultured fungus
Lineage: Eukaryota; Fungi
Description: eukaryotic LSU rRNA
Rfam family: Eukaryotic large subunit ribosomal RNA (bases 346-1023)
Source: RNAcentral